AUUGAACGCUGGCGGCAUGCCUUACACAUGCAAGUCGAACGGCAGCACAGGAGCAAUCCUGGUGGCGAGUGGCGAACGGGUGAGUAAUAUAUCGGAACGUGCCCAGUUGUGGGGGAUAGCCCGGCGAAAGCCGGAUUAAUACCGCAUACGACCUGAGGGUGAAAGCGGGGGAUCGCAAGACCUCGCGCAGUUGGAGCGGCCGAUAUCAGAUUAGCAGUUGGUGAGGUAAAGGCUCACCAAGGCGACGAUCUGUAGCUGGUCUGAGAGGACGACCAGCCACACUGGGACUGAGACACGGCCCAGACUCCUACGGGAGGCAGCAGUGGGGAAUUUUGGACAAUGGGCGCAAGCCUGAUCCAGCCAUGCCGCGUGUGGGAAGAAGGCCU
Molecule: ribosomal RNA, 386 nt
Filed under: uncultured bacterium
Lineage: Bacteria
Description: bacterial SSU rRNA
Rfam family: Bacterial small subunit ribosomal RNA
Source: RNAcentral